RNAcentral lists this unclassified non-coding RNA (622 nucleotides) under Hevea brasiliensis (rubber tree). The record is from RNAcentral. Lineage: Eukaryota; Viridiplantae; Streptophyta; Magnoliopsida; Malpighiales; Euphorbiaceae.
CAGAAAAGCACCGAGGAAGAUAGAUCUGCAGCUAUCUCACUUGCAAACAAGAUGGUUGAAGCUUUGAAGUAUCAAGCUGUUCAGUCACGCUUCUACGAAGGGAAGGAGCCCAUUCAGUUUUUUUCGAUUUUUCAGAGUUUUAUUGUGUUUAAGGGUGGCAUUAGCUCUGGAUAUAAGAAUUUUGUUUCAGCGAACUCCAUCACCGACGAAACUUACACAGAAGACGGCGUAGCUCUUUUCCGAGUUCAAGGGUCUGGACCUGAUAACAUGCAAGCAAUUCAAGUUGAACCGGUGGCAUCAUCUUUGAACUCUUCUUAUUGUUACAUACUACAUGGCGGAAGUACUGUUUUUACCUGGUCUGGAAGCCUCACCACCUCGGAUGACCAAGAACUUCUAGAGAGACAAUUAGAUGUGAUAAAGCCAAGCGCGCAGUCCAAAUCACAAAAAGAAGGAACAGAAACUGAACAAUUUUGGGCAUUAUUGGGGGGUAAGGGUGAAUACCCCAGUCAGAAGAUUGGGAAAGAACCAGAAAAUGAUCCUCACCUAUUCUCCUGUACUUUCUCAAAAGGAAUUCUAAAGGUGACAGAAAUAUACAACUUCACCCAAGACGAUCUUAUGACAG